RNAcentral lists this ribosomal RNA (1484 nucleotides) under Companilactobacillus paralimentarius. RNAcentral describes it as "bacterial SSU rRNA". It matches the Rfam family "Bacterial small subunit ribosomal RNA". Lineage: Bacteria; Bacillati; Bacillota; Bacilli; Lactobacillales; Lactobacillaceae. The record is from RNAcentral.
AACGCUGGCGGCAUGCCUAAUACAUGCAAGUCGAACGAACCAUCCUGAUGAUUGAAGCUUGCUUCAUGAUUCAGAUCUUGGUGAGUGGCGGACGGGUGAGUAACACGUGGGUAACCUGCCCAGAAGUGGGGGAUAACAUUUGGAAACAAGUGCUAAUACCGCAUAACAACUUAGAUCACAUGAUCUUUGUUUAAAAGAUGGUUUUGCUAUCUCUUCUGGAUGGACCCGCGGCGUAUUAGCUAGUUGGUGAGGUAAUAGCUCACCAAGGCGAUGAUACGUAGCCGACCUGAGAGGGUAAUCGGCCACAUUGGGACUGAGACACGGCCCAAACUCCUACGGGAGGCAGCAGUAGGGAAUCUUCCACAAUGGACGAAAGUCUGAUGGAGCAAUGCCGCGUGAGUGAAGAAGGUUUUCGGAUCGUAAAACUCUGUUGUUGAAGAAGAAUAUAUGUGAGAGUAACUGUUCACGUACUGACGGUAUUCAACCAGAAAGCCACGGCUAACUACGUGCCAGCAGCCGCGGUAAUACGUAGGUGGCAAGCGUUGUCCGGAUUUAUUGGGCGUAAAGAGAAUGUAGGCGGUUUAUUAAGUUUGAAGUGAAAGCCCUCGGCUCAACCGAGGAAGUGCUUCGAAAACUGGUAAACUUGAGUGCAGAAGAGGAAAGUGGAACUCCAUGUGUAGCGGUGGAAUGCGUAGAUAUAUGGAAGAACACCAGUGGCGAAGGCGGCUUUCUGGUCUGUAACUGACGCUGAGAUUCGAAAGCAUGGGUAGCAAACAGGAUUAGAUACCCUGGUAGUCCAUGCCGUAAACGAUGAGUGCUAAGUGUUGGAGGGUUUCCGCCCUUCAGUGCUGCAGCUAACGCAUUAAGCACUCCGCCUGGGGAGUACGAUCGCAAGAUUGAAACUCAAAGGAAUUGACGGGGGCCCGCACAAGCGGUGGAGCAUGUGGUUUAAUUCGAAGCAACGCGAAGAACCUUACCAGGUCUUGACAUACCAUGAAAAGCUUAGAGAUAAGUCUUUCCCUUCGGGGACAUGGAUACAGGUGGUGCAUGGUUGUCGUCAGCUCGUGUCGUGAGAUGUUGGGUUAAGUCCCGCAACGAGCGCAACCCUUAUUAUCAGUUGCCAGCAUUCAGUUGGGCACUCUGGUGAGACUGCCGGUGAUAAACCGGAGGAAGGUGGGGACGACGUCAAAUCAUCAUGCCCCUUAUGACCUGGGCUACACACGUGCUACAAUGGUCGGUACAACGUGCUGCGAACUCGCGAGGGCAAGCAAAUCACUUAAAACCGAUCUCAGUUCGGAUUGUAGGCUGCAACUCGCCUACAUGAAGCUGGAAUCGCUAGUAAUCGCGGAUCAGCAUGCCGCGGUGAAUACGUUCCCGGGCCUUGUACACACCGCCCGUCACACCAUGAGAGUUUGUAACACCCAAAGUCGGUGGGGUAACCCUUCGGGGAACUAGCCGCCUAAGGUGGGACAAAUGAUUUAGGG